RNAcentral lists this ribosomal RNA (429 nucleotides) under uncultured prokaryote. Its description in RNAcentral is "bacterial SSU rRNA". It matches the Rfam family "Bacterial small subunit ribosomal RNA", at positions 355 to 774 of the family's 1533-position model. The record is from RNAcentral.
UCGAGAAUAGUCUACAAUGGUCGAAAGACUGAUAGUGCGACGCCGCGUGAACGAAGAAUCCCUUCGGGGUGUAAAGUUCUUUUUUAAUCGGGCAAUGCCUUUUAUGUGAUAAGCAUGAGGGGUGAGAUAUUAGGAUAAGAAUAAGCAACGGCUAACUCCGUGCCAGCAGCCGCGGUAACACGGGGGUUGCAAGCGUUGUCCGGAAUUACUAGGCGUAAAGGGCAGGUAGGCGGAUAUAUAAGUUUUGUGUUAAAGGCAUCGGCUUAACCGGUGUAAGGCAUAGGAUACUGUAUAUCUGGAAUGCGGUUGAGGAAGACAGAAUUCCUGGUGUAGCAGUGGAAUGCGCAGAGAUCAGGAGGAAUACCAAAGGCGAAGGCAGUCUUCUAAGCCGAUAUUGACGCUAAACUGCGAAGGUGUGGGUAUCAAACA